GACGAACGCUGGCGGCGUGCCUAAUACAUGCAAGUAGAACGCUGAAGGAGGAGCUUGCUCUUCUGGAUGAGUUGCGAACGGGUGAGUAACGCGUAGGUAACCUGCCUGGUAGCGGGGGAUAACUAUUGGAAACGAUAGCUAAUACCGCAUAACAGUAGAUGUUGCAUGACAUUUACUUAAAAGGUGCAAUUGCAUCACUACCAGAUGGACCUGCGUUGUAUUAGCUAGUUGGUGGGGUAACGGCUCACCAAGGCGACGAUACAUAGCCGACCUGAGAGGGUGAUCGGCCACACUGGGACUGAGACACGGCCCAGACUCCUACGGGAGGCAGCAGUAGGGAAUCUUCGGCAAUGGACGGAAGGCUGACCGAGCAACGCCGCGUGAGUGAAGAAGGUUUUCGGAUCGUAAAGCUCUGUUGUAAGAGAAGAACGAGUGUGAGAGUGGAAAGUUCACACUGUGACGGUAUCUUACCAGAAAGGGACGGCUAACUACGUG
This 495-nucleotide ribosomal RNA is filed under the name uncultured bacterium. Its description in RNAcentral is "partial 16S ribosomal RNA". It matches the Rfam family "Bacterial small subunit ribosomal RNA", at positions 28 to 507 of the family's 1533-position model. The record is from RNAcentral.